UACAGAGGGUGCGAGCGUUAAUCGGGAUUACUGGGCGUAAAGCGCGCGUAGGCGGCUUUGCAAGCCGGAUGUGAAAUCCCCGGGCUCAACCUGGGAACUGCAUUUGUGACUGCACAGCUUGAGUGCGGCAGAGGGGGAUGGAAUUCCGCGUGUAGCAGUGAAAUGCGUAGAUAUGCGGAGGAACACCGAUGGCGAAGGCAAUCCCCUGGGCCUGCACUGACGCUCAUGCACGAAAGCGUGGGGAGCAAACAGG
This 253-nucleotide ribosomal RNA is filed under the name uncultured bacterium. Its description in RNAcentral is "partial 16S ribosomal RNA". It matches the Rfam family "Bacterial small subunit ribosomal RNA", at positions 524 to 776 of the family's 1533-position model. The record is from RNAcentral.